This 546-nucleotide ribosomal RNA is filed under the name Triticum aestivum (bread wheat). Its description in RNAcentral is "partial small subunit ribosomal RNA". The record is from RNAcentral. Lineage: Eukaryota; Viridiplantae; Streptophyta; Magnoliopsida; Poales; Poaceae.
AUGUUUAGGGAUAUAUGGGACUUUGGAGUGAAAAACUGUACCUGUGAUAUUCUUAAGGGGGUCGAUUUGUACAAGGAAAGCAAUCCUGCUGCAGUCCCUUGGUACAUGAGCGGUGCCCAGUUUGUUGUGGAGACUAGCGAGUGUACUCAGGAUGCUGACCAUUACAAGAACCGUGCGUCUUCGUAUAGCCGCUGUUCGGAUCUCAAGCUCUUUGAACCUCUUGAAACAAUAGUUGGCCGCUCAUCGACCACUCCCAACAGUUCGAGGGCCCCAAUUCUGCGGAUCGAACCGGUCACCCCAAGUGAUGCCAAGGCUGUGCGGGACUGUUUCCCCCUCUGGAUGCGUGAAGAAGUUGGCUCAGUAGUUUGUGUCCAGGGGGUUGAUAUGACUUUUGAGUUGGCAGGGACGGAUAUGAUGAUACUGAGUAACACCCAACCUAGCUUGAACUUCGCGCCGCUUCUGAGAUGGUGCUUUGACAUGCUGAGCCAGAUCCCAGAAGCAGGGGAAUGUCACGUCCAGACGAGUGAAAAGCCACGGCGGACCUAA